RNAcentral lists this unclassified non-coding RNA (23 nucleotides) under Mus musculus (house mouse). RNAcentral describes it as "oocyte_clustered_small_RNA8831". Lineage: Eukaryota; Metazoa; Chordata; Mammalia; Rodentia; Muridae. The record is from RNAcentral.
AGACACUGAAAUUAAUUGAGGAG